AUAUUGGACAAUGGGGGCAACCCUGAUCCAGCCAUGCCGCGUGUGUGAAGAAGGUCUUCGGAUUGUAAAGCACUUUAAGUUGGGAGGAAGGGCUUUAGGUUAAUACCCUGAAGUUUUGACGUUACCAACAGAAUAAGCACCGGCUAACUCUAUGCCAGCAGCCGCGGUAAUACAGAGGGUGCAAGCGUUAAUCGGAAUUACUGGGCGUAACGGCAGCGAGGUUGGUUCAUAAAGAUGGGUGGGAAAUCCCGGGCUUAAACUUGGGAACGGUUUUCAUAACGGUGGGGCUAGAUUACGGUAGAGGUUAGGGAAAUUUCCUUUGUAGGGUGAAAUGCGUAGAUAUAGGAAGGAACACCAGUGGCGAAGGCGACUACCUGGACUGAUACUGACACUGAGGUGCGAAAGCGUGGGGAGCAAA
This 418-nucleotide ribosomal RNA is filed under the name uncultured bacterium. Its description in RNAcentral is "partial 16S ribosomal RNA". It matches the Rfam family "Bacterial small subunit ribosomal RNA", at positions 361 to 772 of the family's 1533-position model. The record is from RNAcentral.